This 432-nucleotide ribosomal RNA is filed under the name uncultured bacterium. RNAcentral describes it as "partial 16S ribosomal RNA". It matches the Rfam family "Bacterial small subunit ribosomal RNA", at positions 29 to 507 of the family's 1533-position model. The record is from RNAcentral.
GCGAACGCUGGCGGCAGGCCUAACACAUGCAAGUCGCACGGAUCCUUCGGGAUUAGUGGCGGCCGGGUGAGUAACACGUGGGAACGUGCCCUUUGGUUCGGAACAACUCAGGGAAACUUGAGCUAAUACCGGAUGUGCCCUUCGGGGGAAAGAUUUAUCGCCAUUGGAGCGGCCCGCGUCUGAUUAGCUAGUUGGUGAGGUAACGGCCCACCAAGGCGACGAUCAGUAGCUGGUCUGAGAGGAUGAUCAGCCACACUGGGACUGAGACACGGCCCAGACUCCUACGGGAGGCAGCAGUGGGGAAUCUUGCGCAAUGGGCGAAAGCCUGACGCAGCCAUGCCGCGUGAAUGAUGAAGGUCUUAGGAUUGUAAAAUUCUUUCAGCGGGGACGAUAAUGACGGUACCCGCAGAAGAAGCGCCGGCUAACUUCGUG